GAUGAACGCUGGCGGCGUGCCUAAUACAUGCAAGUAGAACGCUGAAGGAAGGAGCUUGCUCUUUCCGGAUGAGUUGCGAACGGGUGAGUAACGCGUAGGUAACCUGCCUGGUAGCGGGGGAUAACUAUUGGAAACGAUAGCUAAUACCGCAUAACAGUAGAUGUUGCAUGAUAUCUACUUAAAAGGUGCAAUUGCACCACUACCAGAUGGACCUGCGUUGUAUUAGCUAGUUGGUGAGGUAACGGCUCACCAAGGCGACGAUACAUAGCCGACCUGAGAGGGUGAUCGGCCACACUGGGACUGAGACACGGCCCAGACUUCUACGGGAGGCAGCAGUAGGGAAUCUUCGGCAAUGGACGGAAGGCUGACCGAGCAACGCCGCGGGAGUGAAGAAGGUUUUCGGAUCGUAAAGCUCUGUUGUAAGAGAAGAACGAGUGUGAGAGUGGAAAGUUCACACUGUGACGGUAUCUUACCAGAAAGGGACGGCUAACUACGUG
This 497-nucleotide ribosomal RNA is filed under the name uncultured bacterium. RNAcentral describes it as "partial 16S ribosomal RNA". It matches the Rfam family "Bacterial small subunit ribosomal RNA", at positions 28 to 507 of the family's 1533-position model. The record is from RNAcentral.